RNAcentral lists this ribosomal RNA (914 nucleotides) under uncultured marine archaeon. RNAcentral describes it as "bacterial SSU rRNA". It matches the Rfam family "Archaeal small subunit ribosomal RNA", at positions 1 to 922 of the family's 1478-position model. The record is from RNAcentral.
UUCCGGUUGAUCCUGCCGGACCUGACUGCUAUCGGAUUGAUACUAAGCCAUGCGAGUCAUUGUAGCAAUACAAGGCAUACGGCUCAGUAACGCGUAGUCAACCUAACCUAUGGACGGGAAUAACCUCGGGAAACUGAGAAUAAUGCCCGAUAGAACAUUAUGCCUGGAAUGGCUUAUGUUCCAAAUGAUUUAUCGCCGUAGGAUGGGACUGCGGCCUAUCAGUUUGUUGGUGAGGUAAUGGCCCACCAAGACUAUUACAGGUACGGGCUCUGAGAGGAGUAGCCCGGAGAUGGGUACUGAGACACGGACCCAGGCCCUAUGGGGCGCAGCAGGCGAGAAAACUUUGCAAUGUGCGAAAGCACGACAAGGUUAAUCCGAGUGAUUUGUGCUAAACGAAUCUUUUGUUAGUCCUAGAAACACUAACGAAUAAGGGGUGGGCAAGUUCUGGUGUCAGCCGCCGCGGUAAAACCAGCACCUCAAGUGGUCAGGAUGAUUAUUGGGCCUAAAGCAUCCGUAGCCGGCUCUGUAAGUUUUCGGUUAAAUCUGUACGCUCAACGUACAGGCUGCCGGGAAUACUGCAGAGCUAGGGAGUGGGAGAAGUAGACGGUACUCGGUAGGAAGUGGUAAAAUGCUUUGAUCUAUCGAUGACCACCUGUGGCGAAGGCGGUCUACUAGAACACGUCCGACGGUGAGGGAUGAAAGCUGGGGGAGCAAACCGGAUUAGAUACCCGGGUAGUCCCAGCUGUAAACUAUGCAAACUCAGUGAUGCAUUGGCUUGUGGCCAAUGCAGUGCUGCAGGGAAGCCGUUAAGUUUGCCGCCUGGGAAGUACGUACGCAAGUAUGAAACUUAAAGGAAUUGGCGGGGGAGCACCACAAGGGGUGAAGCCUGCGGUUCAAUUGGAUUCAACGCCGGG